UACGGGGGGGGCAAGCGUUGUCCGGAAUCAUUGGGCGUAAAGCGCGCGUAGGUGGCCUCAUAAGUCCGCUGUGAAAGUCAAAGGCUCAACCUUUGAAAGCCGGUGGAUACUGUGAGGCUAGAGUACGGAAGAGGCGAGUGGAAUUCCUGGUGUAGCGGUGGAAUGCGCAGAUAUCAGGAGGAACACCAAUAGCGAAGGCAGCUCGCUGGGACGUUACUGACACUGAGGCGCGAAAGCGUGGGGAGCGAACAGG
Molecule: ribosomal RNA, 253 nt
Filed under: uncultured bacterium
Lineage: Bacteria
Description: partial 16S ribosomal RNA
Rfam family: Bacterial small subunit ribosomal RNA
Source: RNAcentral